Molecule: ribosomal RNA, 423 nt
Filed under: Nocardia sp.
Lineage: Bacteria; Bacillati; Actinomycetota; Actinomycetes; Mycobacteriales; Nocardiaceae
Description: bacterial SSU rRNA
Rfam family: Bacterial small subunit ribosomal RNA
Source: RNAcentral
UACUCCUACGGGAGGCAGCAGUGGGGAAUAUUGCACAAUGGGCGGAAGCCUGAUGCAGCGACGCCGCGUGAGGGAUGACGGCCUUCGGGUUGUAAACCUCUUUCGACAGGGACGAAGCGCAAGUGACGGUACCUGUAGAAGAAGCACCGGCCAACUACGUGCCAGCAGCCGCGGUAAUACGUAGGGUGCGAGCGUUGUCCGGAAUUACUGGGCGUAAAGAGCUUGUAGGCGGUUCGUCGCGUCGAUUGUGAAAACUUGCAGCUCAACUGCAAGCUUGCAGUCGAUACGGGCGGACUAGAGUACUUCAGGGGAGACUGGAAUUCCUGGUGUAGCGGUGAAAUGCGCAGAUAUCAGGAGGAACACCGGUGGCGAAGGCGGGUCUCUGGGAAGUAACUGACGCUGAGAAGCAAAAGGCUUCUCCCA